CCCUUAGAUGUUCUGGGCCGCACGCGCGCUACACUGACGAUGGCAACGAGUUUUUCCUUCGCCGAAAGGUGUGGGUAAUCUUUUGAAACAUCGUCGUGCUGGGGAUAGAUCAUUGCAAUUUUUGAUCUUGAACGAGGAAUUCCUAGUAAGCGCGAGUCAUCAGCUCGCGUUGAUUACGUCCCUGCCCUUUGUACACACCGCCCGUCGCUACUACCGAUUGAAUGGUUUAGUGAGGACUCCUGAUUGGCGCCGCCGCCCCGGCAACGGAGCAGCGGACUGCCGAAAAGUUGUUCAAACUUGAUCAUUUAGAGGGAGUAAAAGUCGUAACA
Molecule: ribosomal RNA, 329 nt
Filed under: uncultured eukaryote
Lineage: Eukaryota
Description: partial 18S ribosomal RNA
Rfam family: Eukaryotic small subunit ribosomal RNA
Source: RNAcentral